RNAcentral lists this ribosomal RNA (253 nucleotides) under uncultured bacterium. Its description in RNAcentral is "partial 16S ribosomal RNA". It matches the Rfam family "Bacterial small subunit ribosomal RNA", at positions 524 to 776 of the family's 1533-position model. The record is from RNAcentral.
GACGGACGGUGCAAGCGUUGCUCGGAAUCACUGGGCGUAAAGGGUGCGUAGGUGGUUUGGUAAGUCAGUGGUGAAAUCGUCCGGCCCAACCGGACACGUGCCAAUGAUACUGCCGAACUCGAGUGCGUGAGGGGUGGGGGGAACGAGCAGUGUAGCGGUGAAAUGCGUAGAUAUUGCUCGGAAGGCCAAAGCCGAAGGGACCCCACUGGUACGUAACUGACACUGAGGCACGAAAGCGUGGGGAGCAAACAGG